RNAcentral lists this long non-coding RNA (2136 nucleotides) under Callithrix jacchus (white-tufted-ear marmoset). Its description in RNAcentral is "lncRNA (ENSCJAG00000070801.1)". Lineage: Eukaryota; Metazoa; Chordata; Mammalia; Primates; Cebidae. The record is from RNAcentral.
UUCUGGCAGCCGGGAAGUCCAAGAUCACAGCAGAUUCCAUGUCCAGUGAGGGCCCAUGUUCUGGGUCACAGAUGGUGCCUUCGGGCUAUGUCUGCACCUGGUGGAAGGACUGGGGAGCCCCCAGGGCCUCCUUAUAAGGACACCAAUCCCAUUCACAAGAGCUCUGCCCAGGACCUAAUCACCUCCCAACGGCCUCACCUCCUAAUACCAUCAACUGGGGAGUUAGGAUUUCAACGUACAAAUGGGGAAGAGAGAAUGCAGACAAUCAGACAAUAGCAGAGGCCCAUGUCCAAAGAAGGAAAACCGUCAUGGUUCUGAGUAACUGGAAGUCGAGAUCCCCUAUAAGGCCGUUUUGGCUUCCUUGAGUCAGUGAACCAAGAACCAGAGUGGAGAGUCCAGUGGAAAUUUUGGGGAAGAUACUGAGAAGGACUAUGGAUGAAACCUGAGAAUCCAUGGAGUUGCUGCUUUGUUCUCCUUUGCCUCAUAUUCCUGGUCAACAGAAAACCGCAGAAAGGUCACCAUGAUCUCAUGCCUGCGGGAAUGCAGCCGCAGGUCACCUCACCAGGAUUGUCUCUGCCUUCUGCACCCAGGCCUCAGCUGCAGGAGGCUGGAUUGCUCAGACUCCAUGACAAGCCUCCAGAAAGUCCGCCUUCCCAGAAAGUCCACCUUCCAGUUCGUUUUGGUCAGUGGGAGCCCCAGCAGCAGAGGGAAGAGAGUGAAGUCAGGGUAUUUCUUCUCUGGUUCCUCCCUGAGGUCAUCUCAGGCCGGUAUGUCCUUCCACAGAGGUCACUGUUCCUCCCUAAGUGGCUUUCCCCAACCACUCUUUCUUCUGCGUUUCAGUGGCCUCUCCUGUCCUUCAGCCUAGGCAGGAAUGGUUUCACUGUCACAACCCUAGUUCCCACAUUGGGCUAUGGUUUCCUUAUACCUGCCACACCUUUGUAAUUAUUUUCUUUAUAAAUAAAACCCCCUUGAAUUAUCCUGAGAGAGCACACCCUCCGUUAUGUCUUGGCCCCCUAACCAAUACACAGAGUUUCAAAGGUGUGCCCAGAAUCCUGCAACUGUGAAGCGGUAGGGACAGCAAGGUCUUGAGACCAGGCUCCCAGCCCUGAUGCUCGUUCCCACCCCAGCACCAUGGCCCACCCAGGAGGAUCCUGCACCUUGAAGGACAAUCCACCCAAGCUCACAGCUGCCAGCUCCCAGCACCCACAUCCUGCGCACGGGUCAGGCAGAAGGGCUACACACAAAAGGCCCCACACAACCCUCCACCCACAGGUAGGGGACACUUGAUAAAUGCCCAGUGUCCACCUCCUCAGGGGACAAUGCACAGUCCCUCAGAGAGCCCCAGCAGGAUCCAGCUCCAGCCGCCCGCAAGGGUGACCAGCUCACCGGCAGGCCCUCCAGGUCACCCCCAUUCCUCAUCUCUUUUCCUCCCCUCUCACUGUCUCCUGUGCACCUCCCAACACACGACUCACACCCAAACCUUUGUUUCAGCAACUGAAGGCACCCAAAGUGACAUAGCGCCUGCUGCAAAGGAAUUCAGAACUUUAAGGGAGGAAAUGGAUGUUGUUUUUCUCACUCCUAAGUCAGAGCUAAGCAAUAGACAGGCACGGACAUAGAGAGUAGAAUAAUAGACAGCAGAGACUCCAAGAGGUGGGAGGGGCUGAGGGAUGGAAAAUGACCCGUUGGGUACAAUGUACACUAUUCAGGUGAUGGCUACACUAAAAGCCCAGACUUCACCACUGCACAGUGUAUCCAUGUAACAAGACUGCACUUGUAACCCUUAAAUCUAUUUUUUUUUUAGAAACAGGAAAACAGAUAGUGAUGCAUCUUUAAAAUAAAUAGUGUUUUAAGCUGCUACAUUUGUGGUAAACUGUUACGUACAAUAAAAACAAAAUGAACACACAGAAUGACAAAAAUUUAUUUCCAUACACCAUGUCUUAGAAAACUGCCUGAGGAUGCACUCUAGCAAAAAGAGGAAAUAAACAAAGAGGGGGGUGAUGCGAGGGCUAGAAAAUAGUGUCCUCCACCGAGGACAGCGGAGACCAAACGCAGAUCCCACAUGGGUGGGAGCUCUCCAGGGCAGACUGGGGAAGGGACUGAGCCCACCCCGGGUGCAGGGAGUGAUCGGCCCUCAGG